GAAAUGGUUUUAGGUCGCCCAGUACUGAGUGCCGAAUUUAACUAAAACUGGAAGCUAAUUCGGAUCCUAUGUUCCGGGCGCCCAGAAGUGGGUCCGGAAAUUCUACAUCGUGAAUAUCGAUCGCGUUGACGCGUGGCUGGUGGUAGGUGUGGGCCGCCGGAGCAGGAUAAGGGUGCAGCAUACCGCAGGCGAAGGAACCGAUGAGGGCUGUUUAUGCAGGCUGGAUGUUCUGGGCG
Molecule: long non-coding RNA, 236 nt
Filed under: Ananas comosus (pineapple)
Lineage: Eukaryota; Viridiplantae; Streptophyta; Magnoliopsida; Poales; Bromeliaceae
Description: long non-coding RNA (ACOM_LNC028909)
Source: RNAcentral